This 459-nucleotide long non-coding RNA is filed under the name Junco hyemalis (dark-eyed junco). Its description in RNAcentral is "lncRNA (ENSJHYG00000000580.1)". The record is from RNAcentral. Lineage: Eukaryota; Metazoa; Chordata; Aves; Passeriformes; Passerellidae.
GGAAAAUCUGCUGUGGCAGCUGUAUGGCAGUGUGCUGAGAAAAUGGAAGGCCUGGCUUGGGAAAAAGACUUCUUAUCUCUUCCUCUUUGCAGGGGAAGUAACCCUGAAGAAGGAUGGAAAAUCAAAUUGGAGUGCUCAGCCAAGCAUCAGAGCUCAGGAGAGGGACGGAGAGGCCUGGCACAGGCAGGGUAUUUGUCCAACUGCUGUGAUGUUUCCACGUUAGCCUUACUGAGAAGGAAAAGUUCUUCUCUUCCUCACCAUUACCAUCACUGCAAGGAUGUGUGAGCCCUUUGGACCUGGGAAUCUGCAGACCUGGUGUCUGGUCCUCAGCCUGCCACUGCUGACUGGGAUGAUUGAUUAUGUCUUGUGUCAAGCACAUCCAGGCUCUGUCAGAGAUUUCUGCAGCAGUGCUGACCUGUAUUGAAUAGAGAAAAUAAAGAUGAAGGCAGGAAUAUGUCA